CCCAAGGCUUUUCUCAAAGCCAACCAGUUAACCCUUGACCCUAACU
This is a non-coding RNA of Heterocephalus glaber (naked mole-rat), 46 nucleotides long. The record is from Rfam. Lineage: Eukaryota; Metazoa; Chordata; Mammalia; Rodentia; Bathyergidae.